RNAcentral lists this ribosomal RNA (338 nucleotides) under Streptococcus suis. RNAcentral's name for it is "bacterial SSU rRNA". It matches the Rfam family "Bacterial small subunit ribosomal RNA", at positions 1 to 329 of the family's 1533-position model. Lineage: Bacteria; Bacillati; Bacillota; Bacilli; Lactobacillales; Streptococcaceae. The record is from RNAcentral.
UUUUAUGAGAGUUUGAUCCUGGCUCAGGACGAACGCUGGCGGCGUGCCUAAUACAUGCAAGUAGAACGCUGAAGUCUGGUGCUUGCACUAGACGGAUGAGUUGCGAACGGGUGAGUAACGCGUAGGUAACCUGCCUCAUAGCGGGGGAUAACUAUUGGAAACGAUAGCUAAUACCGCAUAACAGUAUUUACCGCAUGGUGGAUGCUUGAAAGGAGCAACUGCUUCACUAUGAGAUGGACCUGCGUUGUAUUAGCUAGUUGGUGAGGUAACGGCUCACCAAGGCAUCGAUACAUAGCCGACCUGAGAGGGUGAUCGGCCACACUGGGACUGAGACACGG